This 855-nucleotide ribosomal RNA is filed under the name uncultured Propionibacterium sp. Its description in RNAcentral is "bacterial SSU rRNA". It matches the Rfam family "Bacterial small subunit ribosomal RNA", at positions 29 to 893 of the family's 1533-position model. The record is from RNAcentral. Lineage: Bacteria; Bacillati; Actinomycetota; Actinomycetes; Propionibacteriales; Propionibacteriaceae.
UCGAACGCUGGCGGCGUGCUUAACACAUGCAAGUCGAACGGAAAGGCCCUGCUUUUGUGGGGGUGCUCGAGUGGCGAACGGGUGAGUAACACGUGAGUAACCUGCCCUUGACUUUGGGAUACCUUCAGGAAACUGGGGCUAAUACCGGAUAGGAGCUCCUGCUGCAUGGUGGGGGUGGAAAGUUUCGGCGGUGGGGAUGGACUCGCGGCUUAUCAGCUUGUUGGUGGGGUAGUGGCUUACCAAGGCUUUGACGGGUAGCCGGCCUGAGAGGGUGACCGGCCACAUUGGGACUGAGAUACGGCCCAGACUCCUACGGGAGGCAGCAGUGGGGAAUAUUGCACAAUGGGCGGAAGCCUGAUGCAGCAACGCCGCGUGCGGGAUGACGGCCUUCGGGUUGUAAACCGCUUUCGCCUGUGACGAAGCGUGAGUGACGGUAAUGGGUAAAGAAGCACCGGCUAACUACGUGCCAGCAGCCGCGGUGAUACGUAGGGUGCGAGCGUUGUCCGGAUUUAUUGGGCGUAAAGGGCUCGUAGGUGGUUGAUCGCGUCGGAAGUGUAAUCUUGGGGCUUACAGCGGCAGCGUGAAUUCGAUACGGGUUGACUUGAGGAAGGUAGGGGAGAAUGGAAUUCCUGGUGGAGCGGUGGAAUGCGCAGAUAUCAGGAGGAACACCAGUGGCGAAGGCGGUUCUCUGGGCCUUUCCUGACGCUGAGGAGCGAAAGCGUGGGGAGCGAACAGGCUUAGAUACCCUGGUAGUCCACGCUGUAAACGGUGGGUACUAGGUGUGGGGUCCAUUCCACGGGUUCCGUGCCGUAGCUAACGCUUUAAGUACCCCGCCUGGGGAGUACGGCCGCAAAG